CUGGUGGUUGUUUCGGCGGCGCAAGAGGAGACGCUGUGCGUUGGAAAAAGGGAGGGGGAUAUGUGAUCUAGUCUAGGAACUAUAUCUCUUCUUGGGCGGAGGAGGAGGGUUGGUGUUGAUGGAGGUAGAGCCGUUCCACUCGGGCACUCAGACCGAUGGUACUAAAAAGGGCGCUUUGGGGGCACACGAGAGACCAAGCGUCCAAGGAGCAGCUAGCUGCCCGACCCGAACGCCGCUAGAACCUCGCUCAACGCUCCGCCGACGUAGAAGGCCAGACGGGCAGGCCGCUCAGUCUAGACAAUGGAUAGACUACCGGGCGCCGCCUAGACCCCCAAGGGCCACCAGAGCCCAACUGGGACGCCGCUCCUUCCGCAGAAGAGGCCGUACGUGCACCCCUAGGGCAGAAGAGGCGGAGCGCGCUGCCGCCGAGAACAUAACUAUUAAUAGGCUACUAUAGAGCUAUUAAUAAUCUAGAUUCUCUAGCCUCCAUUCUCGUACAUUGUUCGCUCCACUAGCACGGUUCUCCCUUUUUCCUCACUUUUUUCUCUCUCUACACUGUGGAUCUCCGGAAACGGUACAACCCACGCGAGCGUACCGUCCGGUGGUGGCAUUAUUUCUACCAAGAACACAGGCCCCCCUCUAGCGUGCCCCUAAAAAGACAAAGUCGGGGCCCCAGAGGGGGGUGGCACAGGACCACACGAGGAAACAGACGUGGAGAGCAGGCUAGGUUAGAAGGACCGUGUUGCAAGAUGGCAGCGCUUAGCUAGUUCCUCGAUGUUUGGUUUCCAUGUUAGCUAUUAGAUGUCGACUUCGUAUGUAUUUGAACUCUGUUUCAUGACGAGAGCAUUUAACAUUAAGACAAGACUCGAACAAAUGUGCCUCCUUAAGCACUAGUGAACUUGGGCAAAUUCAAUGAGAGUCAGAGCAUCAACAUCACUUUAGUAAACAGACUAAGCGACAACUUAGACGAUAGUAUAGUGUCGAGUUUAAACUUGAAUUUAUUGUUAGCCGUCAGAUUUGUCUUCCGGUUUAGCAAAACAAAAGAUAAAAAGGGGUCUUAUACCAUAUAUAUAGUUCCCAACAAUAAAAAAGAUUUAAACACAAGUAUACAAACAGACGAGAGAACUCUACAUGUUACUAGUGUUAAACUAGCACCAGAGAUAAAGUUAAACUCUACAUGUUACAUGUUACAAGUAUACAAACAGACGAGAGGACUUAUCGAAAUACUACCCUAACAUAUCAGGUCUUUAAUUUAGAUGUCGAUAGAAGGGACCUACACCUGUAGUAUAAAUACUUCUUCGUGGGACGUCGUCUUCUUAGAUUUGCACCUGGAGUUAAGACCAGUAGUAUCCGAGUCGUCUGAAGCUCUUUGACCAAUUCUACAUGAGGUCAUUUAAUACACGAUAAACUAAGAAGACGUAAAUCAGUCACCAAUCAAAAUCAAGUUUAUAAUGUAAGGUAUAUAGGGUGUGUAUUAAAGUAUAACUCGUUCAGAUAAAAGUUAGAAGACUUGAAUAAAAAAGUCAAAAUUAUAUAGACAGUCGUUACUCAAAAUCAACACAAAAACAGGUCAACCCGUGUGUAUUAAAACUCCUAGAACACGUCAAUCAAAUAACAUGAUGUAUCAACAACUAACCAUGCGCGUCUAUUAAAAGUCGGUAAAUGGUCAAUAUAGACCUGAUCUAGAACUUGACUAGACGUUACCAUCAACGGCGUCGUUGACGAUUACAAAUAAUCAGAAACAUCAUAAAGCCCAGUUUUAAACUGGUAUACAAACAGAAUUACGUACAGUGUUUUAAUAUAACAACUUAAACAUAAACUUACAUCGAAGUAAAAUACAAACGAAACAUAUUGGAUAUGAGAGAGUCAGGUUCACAUCAGCUAAAUAAAGUUCAAAAAUAUUAAACAUUUCGUUGCUGUGAAUAACCUACCUCAUAAAAUAUUCAAUUCAAGUACCAGUUUUAGGCUGACUUUUAUACUUUAAAUAUAUGCGACCCACGAUGUGUUAUGAUGGAGUAAGACCCAAAUAAUGAGGAACAGCAUAAAACCCAGUUUUAAACUAGUAUACAACCAGAAUUACGUACAGUAGUUUAAUAUAACAACUUACAUAAACUUACACCAAAGUUAAAUACAAACGAUACAUAUUGGAUAUGAGGGAGUCAGGGUUUUAUUCACAUCAACUAAAUAAUUUAAGAAAUAAAUAAUAUUUCGUCACCGUGAAUAUAUCCUACCUCCCUCAUAAAAUAGUCAAUUUAAGUACCAGUUUUAGACUGGGUUUUAUACUUUAAAUGGCGAGGUGUUGUGAUGGAGUAAGACCCAAAUAAUCAGGAAUAGAAUAAAACCCAGUUUUUAAACUGGUAUACAAACAGAAUUACGGAAAGUGGUUUAAUAUAAACUUAACUACAUCACAGUUAAAUAAAAACGAUAUACUGAAUAUGAGAUAGCCAGGGUUUUAUUCACUUCAACUAAAUAAAAUUCGAAAAAUAUUUCGUGCUGUCAAUAUAACCUAACUCCGUCAUAGAAUAAUCAAUUUUAGUACCACUUUUAGACUGGGUUUAAUACAAUCAUUUGGGUUUUAUAUUCCAAAGAAGAAAACGUACUUUUAGAAGUAUAAACGUAGUAAUCUAGCAGUACUUUUCAUAAAAAUAAAUAAUUUUAAUUCUACUACUAUAAAUUAGAUAUUAGAACAAGUUAUCAUUUGGUAUGUAACAUAAAACCUUACCACCCUCAUUAUUCGUUGUUCAUAAUAGAAGGGAAAAGCAGUACCUAGAAAGACAGUCCUCUCUAAGAGACACCUAGGCCCCGUAUACGAGUUUAGGGUCUACCUUCCACCAAGUUAAGGUGUUUCUAAGAAAUCAACGAAUCGAUUUUAAAGUCGUGAAUUGUAGACUAGUAGACCAACGUAAUAAUACCAAAAUACACUUGUUUUUUCAUAUAUAAUUUCAAAACAAAAAGGUAAACAUCUUGUGACAUACAACUGAAGAGAGAG
RNAcentral lists this ribosomal RNA (2989 nucleotides) under Triticum aestivum (bread wheat). RNAcentral describes it as "partial small subunit ribosomal RNA". Lineage: Eukaryota; Viridiplantae; Streptophyta; Magnoliopsida; Poales; Poaceae. The record is from RNAcentral.